Long non-coding RNA from Centrocercus urophasianus (Greater sage-grouse), 521 nucleotides. RefSeq lists it as uncharacterized. Lineage: Eukaryota; Metazoa; Chordata; Aves; Galliformes; Phasianidae. The transcript has 3 exons. The record is from RefSeq and is a predicted model, not a curated record.
UCACCGCACCUGGGGCCUGAAUCAGGGAUCAGUAAAAAGUCUCAGUCAGUCUGCUCUCCCGUCAAAGAGUAACAGCGUGCCGCAGGGCAAUCGGAUUUACCGCAGACGUACCACAAGGGAGGUUCUUCAGACCCUCCAUGUCUUGACUCAAAGCUUCUCCUGACACUUGUGCUACACAUUUCAUUGAUCUGAAGAGGAAUAAACGACCAAGAGAACUGCAGGUCAGCACGUCGAUUUCAACUAUCACCUGUGAGCUUCAUCAAAAUAAGUGUGGCCAGCAACCCAAGAGAGGUGCUCCUGCCCCUCUUCUCUACACUGGUGAAGCCUCACCUGGAGUACUGCAUCCAAAUGUGGAGUCCACAGGAAAGGACAGACAUGGACCUGUAGGAAUGUGUGAGAUGAGCCACAAAAAUGAUCCAUUGAAUGGAACACCUCUCCUGCGAGAGCAGACUGCGAGAACAGAGGAUGUUUAGCCUGGAGAAGAGAAGGCUCCAAGGUGACCUGAUAGCAGCCCUUCAGAA